Molecule: ribosomal RNA, 466 nt
Filed under: uncultured bacterium
Lineage: Bacteria
Description: partial 16S ribosomal RNA
Rfam family: Bacterial small subunit ribosomal RNA
Source: RNAcentral
GACGAACGCUGGCGGCGUGCUUAACACAUGCAAGUCGAACGAUGAUCAGGAGCUUGCUCCUGUGAUUAGUGGCGAACGGGUGAGUAACACGUGAGUAACCUGCCCCUGACUCUGGGAUAAGCGUUGUAAACGACGUCUAAUACUGGAUAUGAUCACUGGCCGCAUGGUCUGGUGGUGGAAAGAUUUUUUGGUUGGGGAUGGACUCGCGGCCUAUCAGCUUGUUGGUGAGGUAAUGGCUCACCAAGGCGACGACGGGUAGCCGGCCUGAGAGGGUGACCGGCCACACUGGGACUGAGACACGGCCCAGACUCCUACGGAGGCAGCAGUGGGGAAUAUUGCACAAUGGGCGAAAGCCUGAUGCAGCAACGCCGCGUGAGGGAUGACGGCCUUCGGGUUGUAAACCUCUUUUAGUAGGGAAGAAGCGAAAGUGACGGUACCUGCAGAAAAAGCACCGGCUAACUACGUG